AUACAAUCUAGGUUUUCAAACCACCAAUGAAGAGACAGUCACCUUUGAAGGCACAGACAAGGAGACCGAUGAAGUGAUAGAGGCAGGAAAAGUAGACAUAAUUCAUGUAUCUCCCGAGUCAUUAGUUGGAGGCGGCCAAUGGAGAUCAACAAUACAAAGACUUAAUGAAACCGUUAUCGUAGUAGAUGAAUUCCACACAGUUAUCACAUGUGAUGGUCUAGAAGCAGAUAAGGAGGAUAAAGUGUUCCGAAAGUGGUUCCGGCGUGUUGGAGAGAUCCGAUCGUACUUUCCUGAGGCAUCAUUAUUAGCACUAAGCGUGACUUG
Long non-coding RNA from Ostrea edulis (European flat oyster), 324 nucleotides. RefSeq lists it as uncharacterized. The transcript has 3 exons. The record is from RefSeq and is a predicted model, not a curated record. Lineage: Eukaryota; Metazoa; Mollusca; Bivalvia; Ostreida; Ostreidae.